CCAACCACCCUCUAGGCUGUGCCUGUGGGCUGUCAAGCCUAGAGAUGUCCACAAGGAGCCUGCAGGAUGGAGACCAACAGCUCAGACAGUGGACAGUCCCCCCGGGGGCUGGUCAGGUCCCACUCAACCUGUUCUAACCACUGGCCCACCUGCUCUCAACCUGGUGCUGGCUCCAGUCUGGGAAGGGGGUGGGCAGUGAUGGGAAACCACCCCCAACCGCUCCCCUCCCCGCAUCAGGAUUCUGUUUACUGCUCUGCCUUCUUGGGGCCUCCUGCUUGUUUUGAACAAACAGCUCCAACUCCAUGAAAGCCGUUGAUGAAAGACUCAAAGCAUUUGCAUCUCAUCACUCUGGCCUCUCAGAGCACCCACAUCAUUUUAAACAAUGAUCUCUUAAAAAGAUCCCUGCAAAGCCAGAAUCAUUCAAAAAGGAACUCACUGCUGUAAUGAACACAAAUGUAAUUCUGAUUUGCUGAUCUGUAACUCGUCACUUGCUGUGGACACGUGUAGGAAGACACAGGACCAGGGUCUCCAGGAGACCCGGACGCCACCCAAGCCAUUGCUCACUCACUAGCUGGUUGACCCUGGGGGAGUAGCUUGUCUGCUUCCUCUGCAAAUCGGAGAAAGAUCUGUGCCCUGUUCUCUCACCCAACCAUGAUCCAGAGUAACAGCCUGCAAGGGAGAGUGGAACAGAGGGAGCACCCAAGUUCCAAGUCUCGGGUAGACACUCACUCUCUUUUCAGGCCUGAUCACGCUGUCCUGGCCUCUCACUCAGGUGGUUUUCUGUUCCCUGGGCACUAGGAAGACUUCACCUCCUCUCCCCACUCUCCACUGAACCACACAUCCAGUGGGUCUUUACUUGAAACGAAAAUUAUUUUUAAGGAUCAUUAUGGCUGAAGGCUUCCAAAUUUUACUUUGCUUGUUUUAGUCCCGGAUUUUACAGAUGCAGAAAGAAAAAAAGAAAGCGCAUCAGGAUUUAGGAAGCCAGUCUUGGAAAUGUCAAAUCAGGAGACACCACUCGGAACAAAGAUGUAGCCCUGGCUCUAAACCCUCCAGCAGCACAAUGUGGCCGAGGUGCCUAUGGGGGUGGGGGUGGCAUUUAUGCCCUGCCUGCGUUUGGCUUAAGAUCGAGACAACCGAGGAGCUGGACUUCCUAAUAAACAAGAUCACGGGGGAACUGAGACAAAUUCAGUGGGUCAUUAUCACGACAUCCAGAGGCUGUUGGAUAGGGCCAGACUCUCGACAGACUGCCGAGGUUGUCCUGGACCUGUUUUUUUCUUUUAAAGAAAGUAAAUGA
This 1294-nucleotide long non-coding RNA is filed under the name Capra hircus (goat). RNAcentral describes it as "lncRNA (ENSCHIG00010031724.1)". Lineage: Eukaryota; Metazoa; Chordata; Mammalia; Artiodactyla; Bovidae. The record is from RNAcentral.